Molecule: long non-coding RNA, 530 nt
Organism: Mus musculus (house mouse)
Lineage: Eukaryota; Metazoa; Chordata; Mammalia; Rodentia; Muridae
Product: predicted gene, 30757
Exons: 3
Source: RefSeq, a predicted model, not a curated record
ACCUUGACCCUCUCUUCAUGAAUAUGCUGUAUGGUGGACAGCAGACAGACAAACUGAGGUCUACCACCAAGCACAGCCAUAUCGUGAGCUAUUUCAACCCAUGGGUUUUCCACUGAGGGUAUGCCAUUCAACUCAGAACACCUCUGUGCCUGUCUCUCUCGAUUGCUAUCUAAGACAGCUGAACACUGUGUCCUGGCUUCUUCCAGUUGGAGUCCUAUCACAACCUGUCGCAGCCUGGGCGUUUCAUUCAGUUGAGCAUGACGGAGGCAAGGAAGUUUCUCAACGAGGAAAAGGUUGUGCUGACCACAGAAGUAACUCUAUAUAUCUUACCUUAUAGGGGAAGGAUUUCAGAAUCAAUGGAAUGGCUUAGGCAGCUCCAUAAUCUGUGUUUAAGUAGUGUGGGAACUGGAGAGGGAAGGCUUGCUAAUGUUUUACCAACCAAGCUUUGAUUUUACUUUGGGGGAAAUGUAAUAUUUGUAUAAUUUCUUUAUAGUAUAUCUUAUAUAUACACAUACACACACACACACACA